Non-coding RNA from Paramuricea clavata, 241 nucleotides. The record is from the annotation of a GenBank genome assembly. NCBI's taxonomy places the organism in Eukaryota, Metazoa, Cnidaria, Anthozoa, Malacalcyonacea, Plexauridae.
GCCAUUUAAAACAAUCUUACCAGUGUAUAACAGAAACUGUCUAAAUUCAGUUGCCUUCCACCGGUCAACAUCAGCUAAACCCCUUGGCUUUCGUGCAAAUGUAUUAGGUAUGCAAGACUUAAGAUCUAACAAUUUACUACUAAUGGUUUCCACUUGACCAGCUGAUAUUUUUACUUCACGUUUUCCUCGCAUCCAGGUCAAAAUUAAUUUCCUCAUGACUCCUAAACACAGUUGAUGCAUG